Molecule: ribosomal RNA, 971 nt
Filed under: Camarosporidiella mirabellensis
Lineage: Eukaryota; Fungi; Ascomycota; Dothideomycetes; Pleosporales
Description: SSU rRNA
Rfam family: Eukaryotic small subunit ribosomal RNA
Source: RNAcentral
UUGAUAGUACCUUACUACUUGGAUAACCGUGGUAAUUCUAGAGCUAAUACAUGCUAAAAACCCCAACUUCGGGAGGGGUGUAUUUAUUAGAUAAAAAACCAACGCCCUUCGGGGCUUCUUGGUGAUUCAUGAUAACUUUACGGAUCGCAUGGCCUUGCGCCGGCGACGGUUCAUUCAAAUUUCUGCCCUAUCAACUUUCGAUGGUAAGGUAUUGGCUUACCAUGGUUUCAACGGGUAACGGGGAAUUAGGGUUCGAUUCCGGAGAGGGAGCCUGAGAAACGGCUACCACAUCCAAGGAAGGCAGCAGGCGCGCAAAUUACCCAAUCCCGACACGGGGAGGUAGUGACAAUAAAUACUGAUACAGGGCUCUUUUGGGUCUUGUAAUUGGAAUGAGUACAAUUUAAACCUCUUAACGAGGAACAAUUGGAGGGCAAGUCUGGUGCCAGCAGCCGCGGUAAUUCCAGCUCCAAUAGCGUAUAUUAAAGUUGUUGCAGUUAAAAAGCUCGUAGUUGAAACUUGGGUCUGGCUGGCAGGUCCGCCUCACCGCGUGUACUUGUCCGGCCGGGCCUUCCUUCUGGAGAACCUCAUGCCCUUCACUGGGCGUGUUGGGGACCAGGACUUUUACUUUGAAAAAAUUAGAGUGUUCAAAGCAGGCCUUUGCUCGAAUACGUUAGCAUGGAAUAAUAGAAUAGGACGUGCGGUCCUAUUUUGUUGGUUUCUAGGACCGCCGUAAUGAUUAAUAGGGACAGUCGGGGGCAUCAGUAUUCAAUUGUCAGAGGUGAAAUUCUUGGAUUUAUUGAAGACUAACUACUGCGAAAGCAUUUGCCAAGGAUGUUUUCAUUAAUCAGUGAACGAAAGUUAGGGGAUCGAAGACGAUCAGAUACCGUCGUAGUCUUAACCGUAAACUAUGCCGACUAGGGAUCGGGCGAUGUUCUUUUUCUGACUCGCUCGGCACCUUACGAGAAAUCAAA